RNAcentral lists this ribosomal RNA (763 nucleotides) under uncultured marine eukaryote. Its description in RNAcentral is "SSU rRNA". It matches the Rfam family "Eukaryotic small subunit ribosomal RNA", at positions 64 to 870 of the family's 1831-position model. The record is from RNAcentral.
UAUAAAUAGUAUACCGUGAAACUGCGAAUGGCUCAUUAAAACAGUUAUAGUUUAUUUGAUAAUUGGAACUUUACAUGGAUAACCGUGGGAAUUCUAGAGCUAACACAUGCUGUAAGAGGUGACUUUCGAAACUUGUAUUUAUUAGAUACAAACCAAUCCCUUCGGGGUUGAGAUGAAUCAUAGUAACUGAUCGAAUCUCAUAGGUGAGAUGCGUCAUUCAAGUUUCUGCCCUAUCAGCUUUUGAUGGUAGUGUAUUGGACUACCAUGGCAGUCACGGGUAACGGAGAAUUAGGGUUCGAUUCCGGAGAGGGAGCCUGAGAAACGGCUACCACAUCUAUGGAAGGCAGCAGGCGCGUAAAUUACCCAAUCCUGAUCCAGGGAGGUAGUGACAAGAAAUAACAACCUAGUCGUAAGACAGUGGAUUGUAAUGAGUGCAAUUUAAAACACUGCACGAGGAACAAUUGGAGGGCAAGUCUGGUGCCAGCAGCCGCGGUAAUUCCAGCUCCAAUAGCGUAUAUUAAAGUUGUUGCAGUUAAAAAGCUCGUAGUUGAAUUUCUAAUUAGCUAGUGAGGGAUUUUUCUUUCAUUAGUUAGUUAUCCGACACUGAACCAUGACGGUUAUUAAGUUAACCCCAUGGAGAAUUGUCAUUUUACUUUGAAAAAAUUAGAGUGUUUCAGGCAGGCAUUUGCCCGAAUAUCUUAGCAUGGAAUAAUGGAAUAGGACUUUGGUUCAUUUUAUUGGUUAUUGAAUCAGAGUAAUGAUU